RNAcentral lists this ribosomal RNA (1302 nucleotides) under Triticum aestivum (bread wheat). RNAcentral describes it as "partial small subunit ribosomal RNA". The record is from RNAcentral. Lineage: Eukaryota; Viridiplantae; Streptophyta; Magnoliopsida; Poales; Poaceae.
AUGCCUCCGUUCCGGGGCUGGACGGACCUGCCGCCGGAGCUCGUCGGCCAGAUCGCCGACGGCCUCGACGAUCUCAAGUGCUACGCCAGCACGCGGGGAGCCUGCAGCACAUGGCGUCGCGCCCUCCCGCCGCCGGCCCCUUCACUGCUUGUCGACCACGGCGCCGCCGCCAUCAAGUGCCGCGGGCUCUGCCCCGCUGCGCGCCGCUCUUUCCAGCUCGCCAAAAUCCCUGCGCCCAGGACCUGCCUCGGCUGCUGCAGCGGAUGGCUCGCUCUCUCCGUCUUCAUCGACGACGUCCACAGCCUGCUCAGCCUCUUCCAUCCCGUCACCGCCGCCGAGAUCCUCCUGCCGCCGCUCAUCUACAACACCCGCCUCGUCUCCAAGAUCGUCUUCGCGCCCAACCCCGCCACCGAUGACUUCGCCGCCACCGCCAUAUGUGACAUCGACAGGCUCGCCUACGUCACCGCGGGGGCCAGGAGAUGGGCCGUCCUCGACCCUGUCCACCUCGCCGCCGGAGACCAGCUCGUCGACCUCCUCUACCAUGGAAAUGGUAUGGUCUACUGUCUCACUCGGUUUGGAGAUGUCCACGUGCUCCGCCUGCCACAGCGUCGCCGUCGGGAACCUAUCAUCCUCGAGUGCCACACACCAGCAGAUUAUCCAGUAGUGCAUAACAAGCGGAUCUUCCAGAUGCAUGGAACCGGACCGGACCUAAAUGUGCGGGCCACAGACGAGCCACUGUUGUCAUCUGUGGGCAACCCAGUGUUCGACGCCGCCACCUGUUUCACUCAGCCAUACAUCCCGGUCUCGAUUUUUACUAGUGCCAAGAACCUGGUGUUCUGCGAGGGUAACUUGUACCAAAUCUGGAGGAAUGUGACCUGCACGGUUACUUUGCAGCUGUCAGGAGAGGGUCGCCGCCGUGUAGUAGAGGAUGAAAUAUUUGUUAUGAGGUAUGAUCCCUGGCGACGGCCAUGUUGGGACGCCGUGUCCGACCUGGGAGGAUACUCCAUCUUUGUCGGGAGGAACAAUGUGGUUUCGAUGCACGCAGAAGGUGUUCCUGGACUCAUGGGUGAUUGUGUGUACUGGAUAGGCGGAAGGGGUAGAGAUCAGGGCAUGGUCUUUAACAUGAAGACUGGGAGAUCAACACCUUGCCUUCCCCCCUUAGAUGGUGUCGUUCUCGGAUCUCCACAAAGCACAAUUUGCUGGUACUUUUUGAGCGACACAGUCAAUAAUGGCAAUAAUACGUAUGAAAGAGGAGUUUAUCGGACCAGGGCAAGGGCCCGGGCUGAAUCUGGACAAAAGUGA